AGAGUUUGAUCCUGGCUCAGAGCGAACGCUGGCGGCAGGCUUAACACAUGCAAGUCGAGCGCUGUAGCAAUACAGAGCGGCAGACGGGUGAGUAACGCGUGGGAACAUACCCUUCGGUUCGGAAUAGCUCAGGGAAACUUGAAUUAAUACCGGAUACGGCCGGAAGGCGAAAGAUUUAUCGCCGAAGGAUUGGCCCGCGUUCGAUUAGCUAGUUGGUGAGGUAACGGCUCACCAAGGCGACGAUCGAUAGCUGGUCUGAGAGGAUGAUCAGCCACAUUGGGACUGAGACACGGCCCAAACUCCUACGGGAGGCAGCAGUGGGGAAUAUUGGACAAUGGGCGCAAGCCUGAUCCAGCCAUGCCGCGUGAGUGAUGACGGCCUUAGGGUUGUAAAGCUCUUUCGCUAGGGACGAUAAUGACGGUACCUAGACAAGAAGCCCCGGCUAACUUCGUGCCAGCAGCCGCGGUAAUACGAAGGGGGCUAGCGUUGUUCGGAAUUACUGGGCGUAAAGCGCGUGUAGGCGGGCUUUUAAGUCAGGGGUGAAAUGCCAAGGCUCAACCUUGGAACUGCCUUUGAUACUGGAAGUCUUGAGUCCGGGAGAGGUGAGUGGAACUGCGAGUGUAGAGGUGAAAUUCGUAGAUAUUCGCAAGAACACCAGUGGCGAAGGCGGCUCACUGGCCCGGAACUGACGCUGAGACGCGAAAGCGUGGGGAGCAAAUAGGAUUAGAUACCCUGGUAGUCCACGCUGUAAACGAUGGAUGCUAGCCGUUGGGGAGCUUGCUCUUCAGUGGCGCAGCUAACGCUUUAAGCAUCCCGC
RNAcentral lists this ribosomal RNA (817 nucleotides) under uncultured bacterium. RNAcentral's name for it is "bacterial SSU rRNA". It matches the Rfam family "Bacterial small subunit ribosomal RNA", at positions 8 to 872 of the family's 1533-position model. The record is from RNAcentral.